CCCAUGCCAACCGGAGGGGCUCGAUCAAGGCACAGAUUAUGUCUCUCCUGUCUUCUCCACCUCCCACCCUACUUUCUCUUCCUCCCUGGCUUAGGAGCUCGGUGCCGUCCGCCUCCAUGGAUGUCCGACCCUCAUCUCAUAUUCUCCCAAACCCAGUGUGCAGCACUUCUUGUAUUUUAUCAUAACUGGGUGCUUAGCGCUGGCUGCCAUGGUCAGAGACAACAGGCUGAUGUUUUGCUGCUGGCUCAUUUACACAAUGCAGUCGGUCACCAUCUUCACCUGCCCUGACACAGAGGUGGGCACUGUCACACCAGGACUGACAGUGAAAGAGCACAGAGCCAAAAGCUAUGGAAACUAGGUGCAGAGCACGCUCUCCACUUUCUCUUGUCCCAAAACAAGAACAGAAAGCCCAGGGCACAUUUUGAUGAUUCUAGAUACAAGCUUCCUUAAUGGGAGAAACAUGACACGUACAACUUGCUCAGUGUUUAUAAAUUUCUAUUGGAGACUCUCCUUUCAUAUGUUCCUAAGGUAAAAGCGAGGGCUCUAAAUACAUAAAUUAGUGAUACCACUUAAUUCACACUUUUAAGAGAAAGUUGUAACCUCAUUAUGCAGCAUGCUGGUAAAAACAUAAGAACUAAAGCGCUCUUUCUAACUUCAUGUUCUUUCUUUCACUUCAAUGCAAUGUAUGAUGAACACUGUAGAAAAUACUCAGAUAACAGGAUGGAGCAAGGCCCCAUUGUAAGUCAUGGACCCCACUUUUCCCUGAGGGUGCAGAAAGCUUGAAGCUUCGGGUGCCACUGAGAGUUCGCCAGCAGUUUGUAGAAGAAAGACCUCUGGAGAGGAAGAGGAGAGGACAUAAAAGGCCUCAAAACGCCCCUUCCCAAGUGGAAGAUUCUUUCUGCCCAUCCACAGUCCCAGCUGAAGGAGGAGACACCAGAGGCCAGUUUCGACUACAGACUUGACCCAAAAAUGACAAAGGUCUAGCAUUCUGAAGUCGCAAAUCCAAAAUGAUUCAGUAGGGCAAUGCCAAGGAACUGAAAGUGCGCCCCACUAGAGGCCCCGAGAUCACCUGUCGCCCAGCCUCUCAGAUUCGGGAGCAAAGUUUUUUGCUUUGUUGGUCCCAGCCCUUCCUGUACCUUCAAGACCAGUGGUGCAGCACCCUCGCCGCCAGCUCUCUGUCCAUCACUCGGCCUUCGACUCUGCUCUUCCUUCUGAAUCACAUCUUCCUUUGCUGCUCUCUUCUAUAUCUCUGGGUACGUUUAAGACCCACCUGGAGCAUCCAGGAUACUCUUCCCAACCCAAGAUCCUGGAUCUCACCUCAUCUGGAAAGAAGUGUCUUCCCUAGAAGGCACCCUUCAUAAAGGACUGGUCCUGGACCUCUUUGGGAGAUGUUUGCUCACCAACCACACUAAAACUUUCUGAUUCUGGUUCUCAUUGAACUCAACCACUCGCUCAACCUUGUGGGGUCAGCAGCACCCUUGUCUCCCUUCCACUAUGGAGGACCCUGGAAGGGCUCCAGCCAAUCUUGCUUUGUGUUUCUACUGUACUUGAGGCUCCUGGGGCUACAGGAGAGGAGGGUCAGGUUACAAACUGAAGGGGAACAGUCAUGGCAAA
Heterocephalus glaber (naked mole-rat) is the source of this 1614-nucleotide non-coding RNA. Lineage: Eukaryota; Metazoa; Chordata; Mammalia; Rodentia; Bathyergidae. The record is from RefSeq and is a predicted model, not a curated record.